AACCUCCGCAAUGUGAGAAAUCGCGACGGGGGGAUCCCAAGUGCCAUUCUUAACGGGAUGGCUUUUCAUUAGUGUAAAGAGCUUUUGGAAUAAGGGCUGGGCAAGACCGGUGCCAGCCGCCGCGGUAACACCGGCAGCUCUAGUGGUAGCAGUUUUUAUUGGGCCUAAAGCGUCCGUAGCCGGUUUAAUAAGUCUCUGGUGAAAUCCUGUAGCUUAACUGUGGGAAUUGCUGGAGAUACUAUUAGACUUGAGACCGGGAGAGGUUAGAGGUACUCCCAGGGUAGAGGUGAAAUUCUGUAAUCCUGGGAGGACCGCCUGUUGCGAAGGCGUCUAACUGGAACGGUUCUGACGGUGAGGGACGAAAGUUAGGGGCGCGAACCGGAUUAAGAUACCCGGGUAGUCCUAACUGUAAACGAUGCGGACUUGGUGUUGGGGUGGCUUUGAGCUGCUCCAGUGCCGAAGGGAAGCUGUUAAGUCCGCCGCCUGGGAAGUACGGUCGCAAGACUGAAACUUAAAGGAAUU
RNAcentral lists this ribosomal RNA (522 nucleotides) under uncultured bacterium. RNAcentral describes it as "bacterial SSU rRNA". It matches the Rfam family "Archaeal small subunit ribosomal RNA", at positions 345 to 866 of the family's 1478-position model. The record is from RNAcentral.